AUGAAUGUCAAAGAACGCAGAAACACAGCGUCUCCUUCUCACACCUCUUCCAACCCUGUGACGGCUACUUCUAUUUGCAGUGACUCCGUGACAAAGUCCACUCAGGUGAGAGUGCGGCCACCUCAACAGAACAAUGAGGGCCUGCACGAAGCAGAGCCAGCCAGGAAGGCCCCAGGAACCAUCUGUCACACGGUACAAACAUGGGACUUUAUCAGUCAUAAAACAGUUAAUCAGCUCAUCUCAAUUGGUUUUCUAGUCAAAAUGGUGAAAACCGAACUAUCACGUGGCCCAUGGUGGGGCCCUGGUGCACUAACACAGAACAGGACUGGGAGUGGGGAAGAAGGCGCCUACUGGUGCAGCUCGUGGGCUCUGAAUCACCCACAAGGACAUCAGCGCCCCACGGCUGACAGCUGAGUCUGCUUUAAAUUACACUUUGAGUUCCUCUGGCCUUAACAUUCAGUAAUUACAGGAUACUGAAGUGAGUCCAACUUUAUGUAAAAGUCAGCAUCCACAGCUUCAAAAAUAGAAAAAACAUUUUAAAUAUUAAAAGAAAACUGCUCAGUUUACUUAGGUAUCAGAAGUAUAAAAUGCAACCUCCACGCAUUGCCUACGGCACUAAUUAGUUCCUUAGAGGGGCUCUGCUGAAAUGGCCGCUGUUCUAAUCAGCAGAGAUUUAAUCCACUAUGCUCCGCUCCAAAGCAAGUGCUGGUCCUAAGCAGCUCUGAUUUCUAUGGGAUUUAUCCUUUCAGUUAUUCCAAGCCUUCCUCCUCCAAUCUAAUUCAAGAGUCAGAUAAACCUGUGUUCUAAUCCUACUUUUCUAUUUGCUCACAUAAUCAUUCUGGACGAAAAAAAGCUCUGAAGUUAUGGGGUCGUUGUACAAAUUACAUAAGAUGUUAACUACAAGCACAAAAGUAUCUAACAAAUCACUCAAUAAAUACUUGUUUCGUUUUUUUGUCUGAGAAUCUGAUCUUUUCCAUCUUGCCCUGCUGGGGUGUCCCUCUCCUCUGCCCCUUGUAGCAGUCACUUGCAGUAGGUCCUGCAGGCACUGGAGGUGAGCGUGCCCAACCCCUGUACCCUGCCAUCCAUCACCACAGAACCCUGCCCCCUCUCUUGUCUCCCAAUGACAGCAGCGAUUGCAGUUAGUUUUAUUUAGUGGCUACUACAUGUCAAGCAGAGAACCACAGGGUUAGGUGGUACUUCAUCUAAACCUCACAAAGACAAAUCUCCAUCUUAGGCUUUGCUGUUGUUUUUUACUUUUUACUAUAGUUUUAAAAAAUAUCAACUUGUUCACUGCACCAUUUUAACCAUCGGAAGUGUACACAACAGUGUGAACUAUAUGCACACUAUUGUGCAACACAUCCCAGAACUUUCUAAGAUCUUGCAAAACAGAAACCCUA
This 1397-nucleotide long non-coding RNA is filed under the name Fukomys damarensis (Damara mole-rat). RNAcentral describes it as "lncRNA (ENSFDAG00000031875.1)". Lineage: Eukaryota; Metazoa; Chordata; Mammalia; Rodentia; Bathyergidae. The record is from RNAcentral.